Molecule: ribosomal RNA, 253 nt
Filed under: uncultured bacterium
Lineage: Bacteria
Description: partial 16S ribosomal RNA
Rfam family: Bacterial small subunit ribosomal RNA
Source: RNAcentral
UACGGAGGGAGCUAGCGUUGUUCGGAAUUACUGGGCGUAAAGCGCACGUAGGCGGCGAUUCAAGUCAGAGGUGAAAGCCCGGGGCUCAACCCCGGAACUGCCUUUGAAACUAGAUAGCUAGAAUCUUGGAGAGGUCAGUGGAAUUCCGAGUGUAGAGGUGAAAUUCGUAGAUAUUCGGAAGAACACCAGUGGCGAAGGCGACUGACUGGACAAGUAUUGACGCUGAGGUGCGAAAGCGUGGGGAGCAAACAGG